Molecule: unclassified non-coding RNA, 416 nt
Filed under: uncultured fungus
Lineage: Eukaryota; Fungi
Description: partial contains small subunit ribosomal RNA, internal transcribed spacer 1, and 5.8S ribosomal RNA
Rfam family: Eukaryotic small subunit ribosomal RNA (bases 1-73)
Source: RNAcentral
ACAAACUUGGUCAUUUAGAGGAAGUAAAAGUCGUAACAAGGUUUCCGUAGGUGAACCUGCGGAAGGAUCAUUACCGAAGAAAUGAUAGCGUUGAGCUGACUUCUCGGAGUAUGUGCUUGCGCCAUCGCUUUUUCUCUUCUCCCUUGUGAACUCUUUGUAGGCUAUACAAUCGAUAUUUGGCUUGCUUGAUGGCGGGGAACUUGCUUUCUCCAAUAUCUUUCAAGUUCUGUUGAGACCUGCGUUGUUGGUUUCCGUCCAAAGCGCUUGACUCUAAUCUUAUCGUUGCUAGUCUAUGACUUUUAUAACAUCUACUCUUUCAGUCUAUGAAUGUUACUUCAUUGGUGUUUAACCAAUAAAUUGUUUGUACAACUUUCAGCAACGGAUCUCUUGGCUCUCGCAUCGAUGAAGAACGCAGC